GGUUGAUCCUGGCUCAGAUUGAACGCUGGCGGCAUGCCUUACACAUGCAAGUCGAACGGCAGCACGGGGGCAACCCUGGUGGCGAGUGGCGAACGGGUGAGUAAUACAUCGGAACGUGUCCUGUAGUGGGGGAUAGCCCGGCGAAAGCCGGAUUAAUACCGCAUACGAUCUACGGAAGAAAGCGGGGGAUCGCAAGACCUCGCGCUAUAGGGGCGGCCGAUGGCAGAUUAGCUAGUUGGUGGGGUAAAGGCCUACCAAGGCGACGAUCUGUAGCUGGUCUGAGAGGACGACCAGCCACACUGGGACUGAGACACGGCCCAGACUCCUACGGGAGGCAGCAGUGGGGAAUUUUGGACAAUGGGGGAAACCCUGAUCCAGCAAUGCCGCGUGUGUGAAGAAGGCCUUCGGGUUGUAAAGCACUUUUGUCCGGAAAGAAAACUUCUGCCCUAAUACGGUGGGAGGAUGACGGUACCGGAAGAAUAAGCACCGGC
Molecule: ribosomal RNA, 491 nt
Filed under: bacterium PMB310
Lineage: Bacteria
Description: bacterial SSU rRNA
Rfam family: Bacterial small subunit ribosomal RNA
Source: RNAcentral